RNAcentral lists this ribosomal RNA (791 nucleotides) under Rhodobacteraceae bacterium DG1263. RNAcentral's name for it is "bacterial SSU rRNA". It matches the Rfam family "Bacterial small subunit ribosomal RNA", at positions 35 to 876 of the family's 1533-position model. The record is from RNAcentral. Lineage: Bacteria; Pseudomonadati; Pseudomonadota; Alphaproteobacteria; Rhodobacterales; Paracoccaceae.
GCUGGCGGCACGCCUAACACAUGCAAGUCGAGCGGGAUCUUCGGAUCUAGCGGCGGACGGGUUAGUAACGCGUGGGAACGUACCCAGAUCUACGGAAUAGCCUCGGGAAACUGAGAGUAAUACCGUAUACGCCCUUCGGGGGAAAGAUUUAUCGGAUUUGGAUCGGCCCGCGUAAGAUUAGAUAGUUGGUGGGGUAAUGGCCUACCAAGUCUACGAUCUUUAGCUGGUUUGAGAGGAUGAUCAGCAACACUGGGACUGAGACACGGCCCAGACUCCUACGGGAGGCAGCAGUGGGGAAUCUUAGACAAUGGGCGCAAGCCUGAUCUAGCGAUGCCGCGUGAGUGAUGAAGGCCUUAGGGUCGUAAAGCUCUUUCGCCUGUGAAGAUAAUGACGGUAGCAGGUAAAGAAACCCCGGCUAACUCCGUGCCAGCAGCCGCGGUAAUACGGAGGGGGUUAGCGUUGUUCGGAAUUACUGGGCGUAAAGCGCACGUAGGCGGACUAGUCAGUCAGAGGUGAAAUCCCAGGGCUCAACCCUGGAACUGCCUUUGAUACUGCUAGUCUUGAGUUCGAGAGAGGUAAGUGGAAUUCCGAGUGUAGAGGUGAAAUUCGUAGAUAUUCGGAGGAACACCAGUGGCGAAGGCGGCUUACUGGCUCGAUACUGACGCUGAGGUGCGAAAGUGUGGGGAGCAAACAGGAUUAGAUACCCUGGUAGUCCACACCGUAACGAUGAAUGCCAGACGUCGGUAGCAUGCUAUUUCGUGUCACACCUACGGAUUAAGCAUUCCGCCUGG